This 238-nucleotide ribosomal RNA is filed under the name Glomeromycotina sp. RNAcentral describes it as "partial small subunit ribosomal RNA". The stretch from base 40 to 238 matches the Rfam family "Eukaryotic small subunit ribosomal RNA", at positions 686 to 886 of the family's 1831-position model. The record is from RNAcentral. Lineage: Eukaryota; Fungi; Glomeromycota.
GGGUCAGUAGGUUGGUCGUGCCACCGCUACGUACUGGUCUCACUGAUUCCUGCUUCCUGAAGAACCGUAAUGCCAUUAAUUUGGUGUUGCGGGGAAACAGGACUGUUACUUUGAAAAAAUUAGAGUGUUUAAAGCAAGCUAACGCUUGAAUACAUUAGCAUGGAAUAAUGAAAUAGGACGAUCGAUCCUAUUUUGUUGGUUUCUAGGAUUGACGUAAUGAGUAAUAGGGAGACUUGGG